CUUCCUUCCCCACUCCUUGGAACUGGUUCAACCAGAGUACAACCAGCUCAUCUGCAUCUGGCCUCACAAGACAGGCAGGAGGCAGCGGAGGAGGAGGAGCGGGCAGGCGGGCGGCCAGGAGCUGCAGCGGCUGCCACGUGAGCGCACAGCCGGGGCCGCGCCGCGCCGCGCCGCGCCGCCCGGGACGCCAAUGCCGGGCCGGCGGCGCGCGGGGCUUGCUCAUGAGGCCUCUGCCGAGCCGGAGGAGGAGGAGCCACGGCCUCUCGCUGGGAGUCUUCGCCCUCUGCUUGGCCGCUGCCCGCUGUCUGCAGACUCUCAACAUGGGAAGUUAUCCAUCAGGCCUCCUCCUCAUCAGUGCUCCCGCUCAUUUGGAAGCAGAUGAUCCAAGACUCAAGCAGGUGGUGCCUUCCCGGCAUCUGGGGAGAAGGGCGGCGUUUCCUCUCUGCCGGCAGAAAAGGAGCUGAGAAGAACAUCGGGCAUGUCGUGAGCACCUAUGAAGUGCCAGACCCUGUGCUGGACACUGGUGUUUCUGAGAUGAAUCGGAAACGAGUUCUCCCAGCAAAGAUCUCACAGUCUAGGGCAGAUCUACCAUGCACGUGUGUGCUUCCUGCUGCCCUCACCACCCCACUCCCUCCCCAGUCCAGGCCAGAGACUGGCCCAGGUCUGGCCACACUCAGCACCUUAGGCUGUUCCCACCUGUUUGAGCUCCAGCCAUGA
This 717-nucleotide long non-coding RNA is filed under the name Balaenoptera musculus (blue whale). RNAcentral's name for it is "lncRNA (ENSBMSG00010008197.1)". Lineage: Eukaryota; Metazoa; Chordata; Mammalia; Artiodactyla; Balaenopteridae. The record is from RNAcentral.